UAACAGAAGUGGGCAAAAUUUAUUCUUGCCAGCACACUCAGAUAAACAUGAUAUCUGAAUGCAUUUCAGCUCAGCAGCUGCACCUCUGAGGAUCAAAGCAACAGGACUAAGUGUGAAUGAAUCCAACAGCUAUUUUCUCUUCUAGGACCACUUCACACACUAUGAAAUUCUACUUAGACGCCAUUGUGAAGAGGAAUUUAUGUAAACUCCCCAUGAAGAUUGUUAUAUGUGAUGACCUUAUGUGUCUGUAAUUAUCUGAAUGUAUACGGUAUACCUGUGCUGUAAAACUGCAAAGCUCAUAUUUAGAAUUAUCACAUUGAUUGAUUGAUUGAGUGCCA
Hemicordylus capensis (graceful crag lizard) is the source of this 338-nucleotide long non-coding RNA. RefSeq lists it as uncharacterized. The record is from RefSeq and is a predicted model, not a curated record. The transcript has 2 exons. Lineage: Eukaryota; Metazoa; Chordata; Lepidosauria; Squamata; Cordylidae.